RNAcentral lists this ribosomal RNA (450 nucleotides) under uncultured bacterium. RNAcentral describes it as "partial 16S ribosomal RNA". It matches the Rfam family "Bacterial small subunit ribosomal RNA", at positions 354 to 796 of the family's 1533-position model. The record is from RNAcentral.
GUGGGGAAUAUUGGACAAUGGGCGAAAGCCUGAUCCAGCCAUGCCGCGUGUGUGAAGAAGGUCUUCGGAUUGUAAAGCACUUUAAGUUGGGAGGAAGGGCAGUAAGUUAAUACCUUGCUGUUUUGAUGUUACCGACAGAAUAAGCACCGGCUAACUUCGUGCCAGCAGCCGCGGUAAUACGAAGGGUGCAAGCGUUAAUCGGAAUUACUGGGCGUAAAGCGCGCGUAGGUGGUUUUGUAAGUUGGAGGUGAAAUCCCCGGGCUCAACCUGGGAACUGCCUCCAAAACUGCAUGACUAGAGUACGGUAGAGGGUAGUGGAAUUUCCUGUGUAGCGGUGAAAUGCGUAGAUAUAGGAAGGAACACCAGUGGCGAAGGCGACUACCUGGACUGAUACUGACACUGAGGUGCGAAAGCGUGGGGAGCAAACAGGAUUAGAUACCCGGGUAGUCC